This is a non-coding RNA of Salvelinus sp. IW2-2015, 277 nucleotides long. Lineage: Eukaryota; Metazoa; Chordata; Actinopteri; Salmoniformes; Salmonidae. The record is from RefSeq and is a predicted model, not a curated record.
AAUGGUUCUGUACAUGCCUACAGUAACAAUCAGCAUGCUGGUGUCAUUCUGAAGUACUGUCUCUGUAUGUUCUGUGCUAGGUGUACCUGAGGUCACUGAUGGUGACAGGAUCAGUGUUAAGCCAACAAGGAUUGGUGGCAGUGAUGGGUUCACUGUGUCUCAUUGCUGUGUGCUGUGGAGCUGUGGUACUGUGCUGCAAACAGAGAAAUAAAAUGAGAAGCCAAUGAGAGAGAACAGAAGAAACCAUCAACACUCAACCUCAACAUGAUGAUCCUGA